RNAcentral lists this transfer RNA (36 nucleotides) under Mus spicilegus (steppe mouse). RNAcentral's name for it is "partial tRNA-Thr". The record is from RNAcentral. Lineage: Eukaryota; Metazoa; Chordata; Mammalia; Rodentia; Muridae.
UGUAAACCUGAAAUGAAGAACUUCUCUUCUCAAGAC